AGUUAAUGAACUUGUAUAAGUAUGUACCUUGAAAGUACAAAAAAGAGGCAUAUCCUCUAUUAACUU
Molecule: transfer RNA, 66 nt
Filed under: Semanotus bifasciatus
Lineage: Eukaryota; Metazoa; Arthropoda; Insecta; Coleoptera; Cerambycidae
Description: tRNA-Ser
Source: RNAcentral